Long non-coding RNA from Sceloporus undulatus (fence lizard), 525 nucleotides. RefSeq lists it as uncharacterized. The transcript is spliced from 3 exons. NCBI's taxonomy places the organism in Eukaryota, Metazoa, Chordata, Lepidosauria, Squamata, Phrynosomatidae. The record is from RefSeq and is a predicted model, not a curated record.
CUGAUGUUCUGGAAGCAUCUAUUCUAAAUUAUAAUUAUUAUCUCAAUUAAGUUAUUUUCUCUUGACUAAUUCUGAACUCGUGCAUAUUUUUAGAAGACCUGCGAGAGAUCUGGGUCUGACCCUGCUAAGGAAGUGACUCUCUCUCAGAUGUUGAUGCCUCUUCUCAGUGAGACCAAGCUUUAAUCUGCAUUUGAUUUGCAAGUUACAUUGAUCUGGUGUCAAAGUGGGGUGGGAGAAAUCCUGGAUUCCACAGUCUGAUCUCAGCAUGAAACAGGAAAAGCUGGAAUGAAUUAGAAUUUACUACAGCCAUUGCAAUUAAACAGAGGUGAACCUAUGUUGGAGGGAAAUAUGGAAGCCAUUGGAACUGAGGAAGCUGCCUUAUACAGAAUCAGGUCAUCAGCCCAUUUUGCCAACUCUAACUAGCAGCAUCUAUACAUGGUUUAGGCAGGAUUCUUUAAUAAGCCUGACUUGAGGACUUUGAUACUCUUUGGUGGCAUCCCAUCCAAAUAUUAACCAUGCCCAGUU